GCGUUAAACAGCUCAAAACCACACUGAUUAGUAGGUUGGCGUUAAUUAGUUUCCCUCUGUUUAUACCUGCACCAAAAAGGACCAAACAGGUCGUGUUUUCCCGGUAUAUUUUAGACGUAUACCGAGUUAAACUAGAAUGACUCUGUUAACAUCAGCGUGUCUCUGCGUGGCUCUGCUGUUCGUCUGUGUCGUGGAUUUGGCUUCCUCAGACCAGACAACCAUCACAGCUGAGUCUGGACAGAAGAACGUCACUCUGACAUGUCGAGCUCCACAAGGCAAAACCAUCAGAGCUGUGAAGUGGAGCAGAGCUGACCUGGGAGAUAAAUAUGUGCUUUUGUACCGAGAUGAGCUGUUUGAUCAAACAAGCCAGCAUCCAUCUUUUAAGAACCGGGUGGAUCUGCAGGACAGACAGAUGAAGGAUGGAGACGUGUCUUUGAUUCUGAAGGAUGUGACGAUUAAUGAUGCUGGAACAUACGAGUGUCGUGUCAUUGUGGGAGAAUCAGCAUCAUUGGAGAUCAUGGGAACCGUCAACAUGAGUGUUCUUCCUCCAGGUCACCAGGGAGACACGGAGGAUGGAGGGAUAAAGGAUAUCCCUGUUGGACUUAAAAUCGGUCUGUCAUUUAUUGGUGGGAUUGUUUCAGGUUUUCUUUUGUGUUGUUUUGGGAUCUUUCUUUGCAUUUACUGCACUAAUGAUGCUGAGAUUCAGACUUAGGCACUAUAAGUCUCCUGACGACCAUCACAAGGUUUAAAAAACCCUAAAAUGAAAACACAGUUUAAAAACUGAUGUUUGUUGAAAACGCCUACAGUAACACAUUAAAUAUUUUUCAAUAACAACGAUGGUUUAAAAACCCUUUGGGCCUGUAACCUUAAAAAUAUUCAUAGUACGAAGGGAAAAAUAUCCCUUCCUAAUUUUUGUCUACUGGCUUUAAACAUAUUAAAGCCAGUAGACAAAAAUUCUGAGGAGGAGAGCUGAGAGGCACUGCCUUAUUAAAAAAAAAGACCUCAUACUUACUAUGUCAUUUGAUCAAAAUUUAACCAAGCUACUGCUUAAUUUAUGCGUCUGCUGUAAACUUGUAUAUAGAAGCUACGAUGUGGCCUCUCGAAGUGUUGGGAGGUGUUAUUAAUGCCUGUGAUACUGAAAGUUCACAGUUGCUGCCUGAGUUUCUCUCUUUAAAUUGAUCAAAUUUCUUUAAGUCAAAAACUGUUACCAGAGGAACACAUAGCCACAUAUGCAUAGGAGGAAAAAUGGGAAUUCCUCACGUCUCAAAACAAGCACCGACAUGUUUUUGUUCUUUUAUUAUUAUUAUUGUACUUGUUUUUUUUUAUUAUGCUUCCCUCAGUCAUGUGCAGUUGACCAAUGGGAGCACAGAGCAGUGAUUGUCUCAGUUUUUCUGCAGAGUGCAGCUGUUACAUGAGACCUGCAGACUGAGAAUAUUCUGCUUCCUGUGCCAGACUGUUGUGCACCAACAUGCUGUAUAUAAAUGUAGUGCUGGGAAACAGUAAAUACCUCCUGAACUGAGUAACUGGUUGUGCCAGUUUGUUGGCAGCAAGAACAACCGUCAAGUAUUUGUGAUAACCUGCACUGAUCAAUGUCACGCUGAUCUUUGAAGAACUGAGUUCAGUCACACUGGAAGAUUCUCAAGCAUCAACGGCUUGUUUCACUACACUUUCCUAACCAUAAUGCUUCACCACUGUUCCACGUUUUCUCCAUGUGUGGAUAACAACUCUCAUCAUGCUUUACUGGAGAGUCACACUUCUUUGCAUCACUUUAUAUGAAACGGCUCAACUCAUAAAGUAACCAGCAGAGGGCGACGAGGAGCUGAUCCAAUGCUUUUCCAUCUCUUUAAAUACAAAGUAGCUUCUUACUGUAACAACUGUCCAUGACUGAUAGUCAACUGUGUGCUGUUCCAUCCAAAUAUGCUUUAACAACAUUAACAGUGUGUUUACAGGAGGUACUGCAUGGGGGACUCAUCAGUUUUAACUAGAUCAUCAACAGCGACUGAAAUGAAACUCCACAACAUGAAACUGUUCACUGAUGAGACUUCAGUGAACAGUAGAUGAAUCAACUGAAGGACCAGAUGCAUCUCUCAGGUCCUGUUUCUUCAGGACAUGACUUUCACAGACUGUUUAUCUGCUGCAGAUAGUUGUUUUGUUUUGCUUUUUAGCCCUGAUACUUCGUCUUUCCUCAUUCACUUGUCCAGUUUAGUCAGAUUUUUAAGGACCCACUGCACACUGAGAUACUCCAACUUUUAAGAUAUCCGUUAAAGAAUCAGAUAGUUGGUGCAGUUCUGUUAUUCUGUCUGUCAAACUGUGUUAUCUUUGGCAGGUUUCCCAAAUCUAACUAAAGAAAUGGAAACAAAUGUGUUGUUGGGACAGAUUUCUUGUAAUAAAGUCUCUAAAGUUACAGUUUAA
Oreochromis aureus is the source of this 2412-nucleotide long non-coding RNA. The record is from Ensembl. NCBI's taxonomy places the organism in Eukaryota, Metazoa, Chordata, Actinopteri, Cichliformes, Cichlidae.